GAUGAACGCUGGCGGCGUGCCUAAUACAUGCAAGUCGAGCGAACAGACGAGGAGCUUACUCCCGUGAGGUUAGGGACGGACGGGGGAGGAACACGUGGAUAACCUAUCGAUAAGACUAAGAUAACGUCGUGAAACCGGAGCUAAUACCGGAUAAGAUAUAGAACCGAAGGGUCCAAUAGUGAAAGACGGGUUUGCUGGCACGUAUAGAUGCUACCACGCCGCAUUAGCUAGUUGGUAAGGUAACGGCUUACCAAGGCAACGAUGCGUAGCCGACCUCAGAGGGUGAUCCGCCACACUGGAACUGAGACACGGUCCAGACUCCUACGGGAGGCCGCAGUAGGGAAUCUUCCGCAAUGGGCGAAUGCCUGACGGAGCACCGCCGCGUGAGUGAUGAUGGUCCUCGGAUCCUAAAGCUCUGUUAUUAGGGAAGAACUAAUGUGUAAGUACCUAUGCACGUCUUGACGGUACCCAGUCAAAAAGCCCCGGCUAACUCCGUG
RNAcentral lists this ribosomal RNA (497 nucleotides) under uncultured bacterium. RNAcentral's name for it is "partial 16S ribosomal RNA". It matches the Rfam family "Bacterial small subunit ribosomal RNA", at positions 28 to 507 of the family's 1533-position model. The record is from RNAcentral.